GCCAUCGUGGUGUAGUGGUCAGCACGCUUGGCGCUUAUUCGAAACAUCCGUGGUUCGAGCCCCGGCGAAGGCA
Non-coding RNA from Stegodyphus mimosarum, 73 nucleotides. The record is from Rfam. NCBI's taxonomy places the organism in Eukaryota, Metazoa, Arthropoda, Arachnida, Araneae, Eresidae.